UGCGUAGGUGGUGAGGUAAGUCGGAUGUGAAAGCUCGGAGCUCAACUCCGAAAUGGCAUUGGAAACUACCUCGCUCGAGGGUUGGAGGGGGGACUGGAAUACUUGGUGUAGCAGUGAAAUGCGUAGAUAUCAAGUGGAACACCAGUGGCGAAGGCGAGUCCCUGGACAACUCCUGACACUGAGGCACGAAAGCUAGGGGAGCAAACA
Molecule: ribosomal RNA, 207 nt
Filed under: uncultured bacterium
Lineage: Bacteria
Description: partial 16S ribosomal RNA
Rfam family: Bacterial small subunit ribosomal RNA
Source: RNAcentral